RNAcentral lists this transfer RNA (28 nucleotides) under Sceloporus slevini. RNAcentral's name for it is "partial tRNA-Leu". Lineage: Eukaryota; Metazoa; Chordata; Lepidosauria; Squamata; Phrynosomatidae. The record is from RNAcentral.
UUAAAGGAUAUGAGUAAUCCACUGGUCU